CGUGCUUCGCGUUUCUCUCUCUCUCGCACGCGUCUCUCUCUUUCUGUCGGCGCCGAGCUUCCACGGUGCGUGUUCUGUGCUGGGCUGCUCGCCGGCCGACCUGCUUGCUCCGGCUGUCGUGCCCCUGCUGUCGCCGUCGCGCUCGCCGCCGUGCACCGGCCGAGUUCCCGCCGCCGCGCCGCGCGUUGCCGAGCCGCCGUGCGCCGCGUGCCUGCGCUGCUGCUGCUGCCGGCGCGGCUGCGCGUUGCCGAGCCGCCGUGCGCCACCGUCCGUCGCGGGCCGCCGUGCCUCUGCGCUGUGAGAAGAAGCAAGCACAGGAGAAGCAAGCAAGCAGCCGGCGGGAGAAGGAAGCCAGGAAGGAAGAGAAGGAAAGAAAAAGAAAAGAAAAGAGGAAAAAAAAAAGGGGGAAAAAAGAAGAGAGAGGAAAAAGGUGAAAAUUUUGGAUUUUCGUCAGAUUCGUCGUCAAUCCUUUGAAGGUGGUACUAUUUUCGGACGUUCUUGAUCGAAUUUUCUUCAUCGUCGGUAAAGGCAAGUGAAUGUAUUGUAUGACUAUGCUUUAACCUAAUAUUGGGUUGCCUACAUUCUUUAAUUACAGUGCAUUCAUCUAAUCUGAAUGACUGAUUCUGGGCUGAGUACUAUGUUGUUUACGUUUCCAGAAGUUUACUCGAUGAUUGAUUUAUGAAGUGCAGUAUGUUUAGAUGUUGACGUGCAUUUUGGGGAUGGAUCUCGGUAGCUGCACACACUAACUUAUCACGAUGUCGAUAGCUCAACCGGUGUAUACAAACGUUGUGCCUGAUGGUCUGUCAUUUGCUUUUGUUUAUGUUGUGGUACGACGCUGGUAGCGUAGUGGCGAACUCUAUAUAUGCUGGUUAUAUCUGAUUCUGUCUGCCUGAGAUUUCUCUUUUGGUCAGUUAUACAUCUCUAUAGAGGAAAUG
Molecule: long non-coding RNA, 935 nt
Organism: Phragmites australis (common reed)
Lineage: Eukaryota; Viridiplantae; Streptophyta; Magnoliopsida; Poales; Poaceae
Exons: 3
Source: RefSeq, a predicted model, not a curated record